CAGAACGAACGCUGGUGGCGCGUUUUAAGCAUGCAAGUCGAGCGGUAACUACCUUCGGGGUAGCUAGAGCGGCGAACGGGUGAGUAACACGUAGAUAAUCUGCCUUGAGGUUGGGGAUAGCCUGUGGAAACACAGGGUAAUACCGAAUAAGCCCUAUGGGGGAAAGGUGCUAAGGCACCGCCUUAAGAUGAGUCUGCGGCUCAUUAGUUAGUUGGUGGGGUAAUGGCCUACCAAGGCGACGAUGAGUAGCCGGCCUGAGAGGGUGGACGGUCACACUGGGACUUGAGACACGGUCCAGACUCCUACGGGAGGCAGCAGCUAAGAAUCUUCCGCAAUGGGCGCAAGCCUGACGGAGCGACGCCGCGUGAACGAAGAAGGCCGUGAGGUUGUAAAGUUCUUUUCUUACUGAAGAAUAACCGUUGCAGGGAAUGGCAGCGGGAUGACGUUAGGUAAGGAAUAAGCCCCGGCUAAUUACGUGCCAGCAGCCGCGGUAACACGUAAGGGGCAAGCGUCGUUCGGAAUUAUUGGGCGUAAAGGGC
This 539-nucleotide ribosomal RNA is filed under the name uncultured organism. RNAcentral's name for it is "bacterial SSU rRNA". It matches the Rfam family "Bacterial small subunit ribosomal RNA", at positions 25 to 568 of the family's 1533-position model. The record is from RNAcentral.